GAUUAGCUAGUUGGUGGGGUAACGGCUCACCAAGGCGACGAUCAGUAGCUGGUCUGAGAGGAUGAUCAGCCUCACUGGGACUGAGACACGGCCCAGACUCCUACGGGAGGCAGCAGUGGGGAAUAUUGGACAAUGGGAGCAAGCCUGAUCCAGCCAUGCCGCGUGGGUGAUGAAGGCCCUAGGGUUGUAAAGCCCUUUCGGCGGGGAAGAUAAUGACGGUACCCGCAGAAGAAGCCCCGGCUAACUUCGUGCCAGCAGCCGCGGUAAUACGAAGGGGGCUAGCGUUGCUCGGAAUCACUGGGCGUAAAGCGCACGUAGGCGGAUUGUUAAGUCAGGGGUGAAAUCCUGGAGCUCAACUCCAGAACUGCCUUUGAUACUGACGGUCUUGAGUCCGGGAGAGGUGAGUGGAACUGCGAGUGUAGAGGUGAAAUUCGUAGAUAUUCGCAAGAACACCAGUGGCGAAGGCGGCUCACUGGCCCGGUACUGACGCU
Molecule: ribosomal RNA, 491 nt
Filed under: uncultured bacterium
Lineage: Bacteria
Description: bacterial SSU rRNA
Rfam family: Bacterial small subunit ribosomal RNA
Source: RNAcentral